UCCCUCAUGGCUCAAACGGUAAAGUGUCUGCCUACAAUGCAGGAGACCCAGGUUCAAUCCUUGGGUAAGGAA
Molecule: transfer RNA, 72 nt
Filed under: Ovis aries (sheep)
Lineage: Eukaryota; Metazoa; Chordata; Mammalia; Artiodactyla; Bovidae
Rfam family: tRNA
About the family: Transfer RNA (tRNA) molecules are approximately 80 nucleotides in length. Their secondary structure includes four short double-helical elements and three loops (D, anti-codon, and T loops). Further hydrogen bonds mediate the characteristic L-shaped molecular structure. tRNAs have two regions of fundamental functional importance: the anti-codon, which is responsible for specific mRNA codon recognition, and the 3' end, to which the tRNAs corresponding amino acid is attached (by aminoacyl-tRNA synthetases). tRNAs cope with the degeneracy of the genetic code in two manners: having more than one tRNA (with a specific anti-codon) for a particular amino acid; and 'wobble' base-pairing, i.e. permitting non-standard base-pairing at the 3rd anti-codon position.
Source: Rfam by way of RNAcentral